AAGCUCGAGUAACGAGAGGCUGAAAUCGGCCUCCCGCAAGUGUGAAGAUAUAUGAUUAGAUACGAGAGGCUGAAAUCGGCCUCCUGUAGGUAUCAAAGGGCAGGGACAGUUGGAAAAGGUGAAGCCCCAGAGUGCAGCUAGCGAGGUUUACGUGCAAAGUUUUCGCUGUGCUUUGAGACUCGUCCAUGCAUUCAUCCCCAG
RNAcentral lists this long non-coding RNA (201 nucleotides) under Daucus carota (carrot). RNAcentral describes it as "long non-coding RNA (DCAR_LNC001837)". Lineage: Eukaryota; Viridiplantae; Streptophyta; Magnoliopsida; Apiales; Apiaceae. The record is from RNAcentral.